UCUAGAACUCGAGAUAUGGGCUGAACACUGAAUAGUAUCUAGGCUGCAGAACAGAUUCUGACAUCUCUUUGGUUGCUACAAUUUGAGCUUGAAAACGGCUGUUUUGAGUCUUGGACUCUCAUGAAAGUUUUAGGCCUAUAUCUUAGCUUUCCAUC
Non-coding RNA from Populus trichocarpa (black cottonwood), 155 nucleotides. The record is from Rfam. NCBI's taxonomy places the organism in Eukaryota, Viridiplantae, Streptophyta, Magnoliopsida, Malpighiales, Salicaceae.